RNAcentral lists this ribosomal RNA (468 nucleotides) under uncultured bacterium. RNAcentral describes it as "partial 16S ribosomal RNA". It matches the Rfam family "Bacterial small subunit ribosomal RNA", at positions 28 to 507 of the family's 1533-position model. The record is from RNAcentral.
GACGAACGCUGGCGGCGUGCUUAACACAUGCAAGUCGAACGGAAAGGCCCUGCUUUUGUGGGGUACUCGAGUGGCGAACGGGUGAGUAACACGUGAGUAACCUGCCCUUGACUUUGGGAUAACUUCAGGAAACUGGGGCUAAUACCGGAUAGGAGCUCCUGCUGCAUGGUGUGGGUUGGAAAGUUUCGGCGGUUGGGGAUGGACUCGCGGCUUAUCAGCUUGUUGGUGGGGUAGUGGCUUACCAAGGCUUUGACGGGUAGCCGGCCUGAGAGGGUGACCGGCCACAUUGGGACUGAGAUACGGCCCAGACUCCUACGGGAGGCAGCAGUGGGGAAUAUUGCACAAUGGGCGGAAGCCUGAUGCAGCAACGCCGCGUGCGGGAUGACGGCCUUCGGGUUGUAAACCGCUUUCGCCUGUGACGAAGCGUGAGUGACGGUAAUGGGUAAAGAAGCACCGGCUAACUACGUG